This 448-nucleotide ribosomal RNA is filed under the name uncultured bacterium. Its description in RNAcentral is "bacterial SSU rRNA". It matches the Rfam family "Bacterial small subunit ribosomal RNA", at positions 329 to 792 of the family's 1533-position model. The record is from RNAcentral.
GGCCAGACUCCUACGGGAGGCAGCAGUGGGGGAUAUUGCACAAUGGGGGAAACCCUGAUGCAGCGACGCCGCGUGUGGGAAGACGGUCCUCUGGAUUGUAAACCACUGUCCCCAGGGAAGAAGAAAGACGGUACCUGACCAAGAAGCCCCGGCUAACUACGUGCCAGCAGCCGCGGUAAUACGUAGGGGGCAAGCGUUAUCCGGAUUUACUGGGUGUAAAGGGAGCGUAGACGGCAGGGCAAGUCUGGAGUGAAAGGCAGGGGCCCAACCCCUGGACUGCUCUGGAAACUGUCCGGCUGGAGUGCAGGAGAGGUAAGUGGAAUUCCUAGUGUAGCGGUGAAAUGCGUAGAUAUUAGGAGGAACACCAGUGGCGAAGGCGGCUUACUGGACUGUAACUGACGUUGAGGCUCGAAAGCGUGGGGAGCAAACAGGAUUAGAUACCCCGGUA